Molecule: ribosomal RNA, 492 nt
Filed under: uncultured bacterium
Lineage: Bacteria
Description: partial 16S ribosomal RNA
Rfam family: Bacterial small subunit ribosomal RNA
Source: RNAcentral
AGUGAACGCUGGCGGUAGGCCUAACACAUGCAAGUCGAACGGCAGCACAGUAAGAGCUUGCUCUUACGGGUGGCGAGUGGCGGACGGGCGAGGAAUACAUCGGAAUCUACUUUUUCGUGGGGGAUAACGUAGGGAAACUUACGCUAAUACCGCAUACGACCUACGGGUGAAAGCAGGGGAUCUUCGGACCUUGCGCGAUUGAAUGAGCCGAUGUCGGAUUAGCUAGUUGGCGGGGUAAAGGCCCACCAAGGCGACGAUCCGUAGCUGGUCUGAGAGGAUGAUCAGCCACACUGGAACUGAGACACGGUCCAGACUCCUACGGGAGGCAGCAGUGGGGAAUAUUGGACAAUGGGCGCAAGCCUGAUCCAGCCAUACCGCGUGGGUGAAGAAGGCCUUCGGGUUGUAAAGCCCUUUUGUUGGGAAAGAAAAGCAGCAGGUUAAUACCCCGCUGUUCUGACGGUACCCAAAGAAUAAGCUCCGGCUAACUUCGUG